UUCUUAAAACAAUCAACAAAUAAAAAUGCGCAAACCCGACUUACAUUCGAUAAAGAAUUCAUACUCAUAAUGGUUGGCUCAGAUAUGAGUGCUAAGUUUGUUUGUUUUUUCCUUAAGGAGUAGCGUUUCAUUUUUCUUUUUCUCGUUUUUAACAUAAAUAAAAGCCAUGAUGGCCCUCUGUCCAACGCCCGUACAUGGUCAUGGACCACGUAGAGCGGUAGAGGCAUGCAGUGCGCACGAGGAUCGAUCGCAUGAGUAGAGGCAA
This 265-nucleotide long non-coding RNA is filed under the name Brachypodium distachyon (stiff brome). RNAcentral's name for it is "long non-coding RNA (BDIS_LNC001996)". Lineage: Eukaryota; Viridiplantae; Streptophyta; Magnoliopsida; Poales; Poaceae. The record is from RNAcentral.